GAUGAAGAACGCAGCGAAAUGCGAUAAGUAAUGUGAAUUGCAGAAUUCAGUGAAUCAUCGAAUCUUUGAACGCACAUUGCGCCCGUCAGUAUUCUGGCGGGCAUGCCUGUUCGAGCGUCAUUACGCCCCUCAAGUCCCCUGUGGACUUGGUGUUGGGGAUCGGCGAGGCUGGUUUUCCAGCACAGCCGUCCCUUAAAUUAAUUGGCGGUCUCGCCGUGGCCCUCCUCUGCGCAGUAGUAAAACACUCGCAACAGGAGGCCGGCGCGGUCCACUGCCGUAAAACCCCCCAACUUUUUAUAGUUGACCUCGAAUCAGGUAGGACUACCCGCUGAACUUAAGCAUAUCAAUAAGCGGAGGA
Molecule: unclassified non-coding RNA, 358 nt
Filed under: soil metagenome
Description: partial contains 5.8S ribosomal RNA, internal transcribed spacer 2, and large subunit ribosomal RNA
Rfam family: 5.8S ribosomal RNA (bases 1-120)
Source: RNAcentral